Daphnia magna is the source of this 503-nucleotide long non-coding RNA. RefSeq lists it as uncharacterized. The transcript is spliced from 3 exons. The record is from RefSeq and is a predicted model, not a curated record. Lineage: Eukaryota; Metazoa; Arthropoda; Branchiopoda; Diplostraca; Daphniidae.
GAAAAAGAAAAAGAAGAAAUGCGGAAACAAGAAGACAUUUUCUUCCAACAACGAAAACUUUGAGUCAAAAAGAAAGCGAUCGCAUUCUGAUUCAAAAUCAAGUUCUUCGUCUGAUGAAUGUAGUUCUUCAUCAUCAUAAGUGGACGCCUUGUUUUGGCGUGAUGGCAUACAGUGCUUGCUAGUGUCCUAUUUUUUUUCUUCAAAAAGUGAAUAUCGCUUUAUAUCUAAGAAACAAGAAUCAAAUAUUGAACCAAGAAUCGAAAUAACGACGUAUUAAACGUACCAAAUGGAUACAGGAUUACUUUUGAAUCAUAAACCGGAAGCUGCCACUACAAUUUACCAAAAUGUUGUAAUAAAAUGAAAAAGGAGUCACAGAUUUGUUGCCGUUUUCUUUCAGCCAAGCGAUCUAUCACACCUACAGCAUACGGUUGGUUGUUCACGUUGCAAUUGAGAUAUUCCUCGUCCAGCUUUCCACCGUAGAAAAGAUCUCCUUGUUGUAUACA